This 253-nucleotide ribosomal RNA is filed under the name uncultured bacterium. RNAcentral describes it as "partial 16S ribosomal RNA". It matches the Rfam family "Bacterial small subunit ribosomal RNA", at positions 524 to 776 of the family's 1533-position model. The record is from RNAcentral.
UACGAAGGGGGCGAGCGUUUGUUCGGAAUUACUGGGCGUAAAGGGCGCGUAGGCGCCUUCUAAGUCGAACGUGAAAUCCCCGGGCUCAACCCGGGAACUGCGUCCGAUACUGGAAGGCUUGAAUCCGGGAGAGGGAUGUGGAAUUCCAGGUGUAGCGGUGAAAUGCGUAGAUAUCUGGAGGAACACCGGUGGCGAAGGCGACAUCCUGGACCGGUAUUGACGCUGAGGCGCGAAAGCUAGGGGAGCAAACGGG